AAAUUAGCAGAUCAUCUCUAAACAAUAUGAAAGCAGCCAGCAACACAUCAGUUAGAGUUUAAGCAACUGAGCAAAGUUGAAUCAACUUGGAGCAUGAGGUGUACCAUUUUAUUGUUUGUUUCUCUGUUCUGUGGCCUUAUUUUGGCCCAAGAUGGUGGUAAUCCUCCUGAAACAGAAAUAACUAGUGAAACACAGUCAUGCUUCCCUCACAAGUGUGAUCUCCUGAAAGAGUUUGGUGCCCUGAGAGAAAAACUGGGAGUUAUGGAAACCAGGCUGAAGGAUAGUGAAAACCAGAUCCUUGAACUGAAGAAAAAAGAAACAACUAAGGUAGCAUUCAGUGCAGCGAUAGGUGGGAAUGGACAACAAAUUGGACCCUUCAACACAGACACAACUUUAAUCUACAAAACGGUGAUAACAAACAUUGGCAAUGCCUACAACGAACAUACUGGUAUCUUCGCUGCGCCCGUCCCAGGACUUUACUACUUCACCUUUUAUUAUCAUGCCGGAGGAUCACACCCAGUGAGUCUAGUCCUCAUCAAGAACAGCCAGAGUGUUGUGACAGCCUAUGAUCACCAAACACUGAGUGACGGGGCUGAUAACGGAGGCAACGCAGUGUUCAUGCAGCUGCAGCAAGGGGACCAGGUGUUUGUACGCUUAGGGGCAAAUACUAAUGUGUGGGGAAACAAUGCAAUCACCACCUUCAGCGGUUUUUUGGUCAAUCAGGAUUGAGAAACAUUGAAAAGGAUUCAUUUGUCAUUAUGAUCACAAUUUUAACUGGCUUAACAGAUUGGAUAUCAUACAUAUAUUUCUUUUUUUCUUUAUCGUUUUGUAUCUCUGUUUUAAGUGAUGAAAGUAUUUAAAAUGCUGUAGGUUCAUUUGAACUCAUUCCAAUUAUCACUAAUAAACGACGUGAUAUACUGCAGAU
RNA transcript from Etheostoma spectabile (orangethroat darter), 925 nucleotides. It is a transcript of the gene named complement C1q-like protein 4, with no coding region annotated. Lineage: Eukaryota; Metazoa; Chordata; Actinopteri; Perciformes; Percidae. The record is from RefSeq and is a predicted model, not a curated record. The transcript has 4 exons.